Long non-coding RNA from Motacilla alba alba, 1236 nucleotides. RefSeq lists it as uncharacterized. Lineage: Eukaryota; Metazoa; Chordata; Aves; Passeriformes; Motacillidae. The record is from RefSeq and is a predicted model, not a curated record. The transcript is spliced from 3 exons.
GAAUCCCGCCCCGCUCGUAGCUCUUCGGAGCUUCUCGGCGAUCUUCGGAAUCCCUCGGGCUCGGCGCGUGCACAGCUUCGGGCACGCUCGGCUCGGCGAGACUUCGGCAACGCUUGAGGAAACCUCCUCACGGCCACCACCUGAGCUUGGCAGCGGCCAAGGCGGUUUGUACCAUCUCAGGGAGAUAAAAAGCACCUCAGAACAGAUUCCGGCAGCUGCCAGAUUGUCCUGACUUGUCCUGCCUCGCCGCUGGCUGCCGAGGGCUCAUUCCAACCCGCUGGCACCUUCCAACGUUCCUGCCGCGCCGCACGUCCCAGGGAGACGCUCCCAGCACCUUCGCUGUGCCCACAGGAAUGCAGGUAUUCCACCACAAUUUUAACAUGCAGGGCCACAUCCAGACCAAAAUAGGAGUCCGGUAACAUCGCCGGUUCCUGCCAGCCAAGCACUGGAGCGUGCAGGCAGCGAUUUUCUCGGCUCCACCGCCCUCUGCGGGUUUGCGCCAUUUCCAGGCAGAUCUCAAGGAAAACAACGGCCACGGCCGCUCUCAGCGCUGCAGGAAACCGAGGGCCUCACACCGAGUCGUGCAGGCAGAAAGUGAGUGCUAUUACUACAUUUCGGUUCCAUCUGGGCGAGAAAACAUGGUAAACACAGUCAGAGAGGUAUUUUAAUGUCUUAUUUAUGCAACACCCAUGUCCCUAGCUCACUGCUGGCUCAGUCCUGCCCAUGCCAGCAGCAGAAACACUCUGUAUUCCCAAAAGUUUGCUACCAGUGGGCUGCAGCCUCCUAGUUUUGCCCCAAAUCCAGCCCCUGAUAACAAUUCCUAGGUUAAACAGUCAAAGAGUAGCCAGCACAUUGGUGGUUAAGGACCAUUAGCCCUACCAGCCUGCAGUCCAGGUCCUGCCUUGCAUUUUUUGGGCAAGCCUGAUGAAGCCAUGGAGCAUCUGCUCAGAGUAAAUGUUGGCCUGUUAUGGACCUGGCAGCAUCCCACCAGCAUCACCAAGCCAUAAAUAAGGAAGUUUGGAGGGAAACCUGCACAGGGCCUGAGCCGCUGGAUCCAACCGCAGCCCAGCCAGCCAAAAACUCACCCGGGAGGAAGGAAAAGCAUCUGGGAAAGACCUCCCUGCCAGGGAGCUGUGUGGGGCCAUGCCAUAGAGAUGGAAAGCAAAGAGCCACCCGCAGUGAGAGUGAGGUUUUUGGGCAAAACCCCCUGGAUUUAGCCUCCAAGAGAGGCAGCAG